GAGCGAAAACUUUUCGAAUAGGCAAUGCCUGAAAAGGUGACUAUCCGUAUCAACAACUGCUUUUAGUGGUUGGUUGGAAUGAGAGACUUAUAGAUCGGGUUUCGAGUAGCAAGUUCAGGGCAAGUCUGGUGCCAGCAGCCGCGGUAAUACCAGCUGAGCUAGAACUGGGUAACAUUGUUGCAGUAAAAACGUACGUAGUCACCUUUGUUCUUAUUGCUGUUCUUAACGAACCUGCAAUUGAACGAUCCA
This 249-nucleotide ribosomal RNA is filed under the name uncultured organism. RNAcentral describes it as "partial 16S ribosomal RNA". It matches the Rfam family "Eukaryotic small subunit ribosomal RNA", at positions 432 to 684 of the family's 1831-position model. The record is from RNAcentral.